Molecule: ribosomal RNA, 449 nt
Filed under: uncultured bacterium
Lineage: Bacteria
Description: partial 16S ribosomal RNA
Rfam family: Bacterial small subunit ribosomal RNA
Source: RNAcentral
AGCGAACGCUGGCGGCAGGCCUAACACAUGCAAGUCGAACGGAUCCUUCGGGAUUAGUGGCGGACGGGUGAGUAACACGUGGGAACGUGCCCUUUGGUUCGGAACAACUCAGGGAAACUUGAGGUAAUACCGGAUGUGCCCUUCGGGGGAAAGAUUUAUCGCCAUUGGAGCGGCCCGCGUCUGAUUAGCUAGUUGGUGGGGUAAAGGCCCACCAAGGCGACGAUCAGUAGCUGGUCUGAGAGGAUGAUCAGCCACAUUGGGACUGAGACACGGCCCAAACUCCUACGGGAGGCAGCAGUGGGGAAUCUUGCGCAAUGGGCGAAAGCCUGACGCAGCCAUGCCGCGUGAAUGAUGAAGGUCUUAGGAUUGUAAAAUUCUUUCACCGGAGACGAUAAUGACGGUACCCGGAGAAGAAGCCCCGGCUAACUUCGUGCCAGCCGCCGCAGUAA